GUUUUCUUAUUGCUGUUGCCAUGUAUUCUCUGGUGAUAUAAAAAUGUGGAACUUUAGAAAAGAACCACUGGCUGUCCAUUUUUAAACUGAGCCACUCCUAAAAAUAUUUUAACAAAUAUUCCUUCCUUCCUUCUGGAUUCAGCUCAAAUGAUAUCUCUUAUAGGAAACAUUUUUAAGUCAGAAUCAAUCAUUCACCUCUAGCUACUCAGCAGAAGUGUAAUAGGAGCUAUAUGUUGAACAUUAUUAACCUGGCUUACUCUUUUGCCCUUCUGAGCUGUAUUCCAUUGAAGAGAGCCUUCUGCUUCGAUGUAGAUCAAGAUUUCUUCCAAAAGGAAUGAAAAGCAAAAGACUGAGAAUUCUGGAGGCUGGGAGUCCAAGAUCAAGGUGUCAGCAGAGUUGAUUUCUGGGAAAAUGUUGUGACCAUGUGAGCAUGGCAAAGGGAGCUAUGGCCACACUCAAGGAGAUACUGGGGAGGAAGCUCUUCUUGCAGUAGACACUGUGCUCCUUUUUGAUCAACGUUAAGAAGACUUCAAUCAAAAAGCAUAUGAACAUUAUUCUAGAGUGAGAGUCACUUUGGGGUUAAGCGGAGAACUCUGUAGUAAUGAUCAGUUACUUUCCCCAUUAUAUGUCUUUACACAUGUAGACUCUAACCCUAUUACCAUAUCCGCUGGUAGCAUUGAUGCAGGAAAGAAAUGAUGCGAAAGAUUACCUGAUCAAGAAAGAGUAAUGAGGGGCCGGCCCGGUGGUGCAGUGGUAAAGUUCCCACGUUCUGCUUUGGCGGCCUGGGGUUCACCUGUUUGGAUCCCCAGUGUGGAUCCCCGGCAUGGAAGCGGACAUGGCACCACUCAUCGGGCAACGCUGUGGUAGGUGUCCCACGUAUAAAGUAGAGGAAGAUGGGC
This 899-nucleotide long non-coding RNA is filed under the name Equus caballus (horse). RNAcentral's name for it is "lncRNA (ENSECAG00000046796.1)". Lineage: Eukaryota; Metazoa; Chordata; Mammalia; Perissodactyla; Equidae. The record is from RNAcentral.